GUGCCAGGAGCCGCGGUAAUACCGGCAGCUCAAGUGAUGUCCCAUAUUAUUGGGCCUAAAGCGUCCGUAGCUGGGUCUGAAAGUCCAUCGGGAAAUCCACUCGCUCAACGAGUGGCCGUCCGGUGGAAACUCCACACCUUGGGACCGGAAGGCUCGAAGGGUACGGCCGGGGUAGGAGUGAAAUCCCAUAAUCCCGCACGGACCACCGAUGGCGAAAGCACUUCGAGAAAACGGAUCCGACAGUGAGGGACGAAAGCCAGGGUCUCCAACCGGAUUAGAUACCCCAGUAGUCC
This 293-nucleotide ribosomal RNA is filed under the name uncultured bacterium. RNAcentral describes it as "partial 16S ribosomal RNA". It matches the Rfam family "Archaeal small subunit ribosomal RNA", at positions 455 to 747 of the family's 1478-position model. The record is from RNAcentral.